Molecule: ribosomal RNA, 490 nt
Filed under: uncultured Glomeromycotina
Lineage: Eukaryota; Fungi; Glomeromycota
Description: SSU rRNA
Rfam family: Eukaryotic small subunit ribosomal RNA
Source: RNAcentral
AGCAGCCGCGGUAAUUCCAGCUCCAAUAGCGUAUAUUAAAGUUGUUGCAGUUAAAAAGCUCGUAGUUGAAUUUCGGGAUCAGAUUGUCGGUCGUGCCUCGGUACGCACUGGCAUUAUUGGUUCCUACCUUCUGAAGAACCGCGAUGUCAUUAAUUUGGUGUCGUGAGGAAUCAGGACUGUUACUUUGAAAAAAUUAGAGUGUUUAAAGCAGGCGCACGCUUGAAUACAUUAGCAUGGAAUAAUGAAAUAGGACGUUUGAUUCUAUUUUGUUGGUUUCUAGGAUCGACGUAAUGAUUAAUAGGGAUAGUUGGGGGCAUUAGUAUUCAAUUGUCAGAGGUGAAAUUCUUGGAUUUAUUGAAGACUAACUACUGCGAAAGCAUUUGCCAAGGAUGUUUUCAUUAAUCAAGAACGAAAGUUAGGGGAUCGAAGACGAUCAGAUACCGUGCGUAGUCUUAACCAUAAACUAUGCCGACUAGGGAUCGGAUGAUGU